UACAGAGGUCCCAAGCGUUGUUCGGAUUUACUGGGCGUAAAGGGAGCGUAGGUGGCAUUCUAAGUCUGAUGUGAAAGCUCUGAGCUUAACUCAGAAAUGGCAUUAGAAACUAGUUUGCUUGAGGAUUGGAGGGGAGAUUGGAAUUCUUGGUGUAGCAGUGAAAUGCGUAGAUAUCAAGAGGAACACCAGUGGCGAAGGCGAAUCUCUGGGCAAUUCCUGACACUGAUGCUCGAAAGCUAGGGGAGCAAACGGG
RNAcentral lists this ribosomal RNA (253 nucleotides) under uncultured bacterium. RNAcentral's name for it is "partial 16S ribosomal RNA". It matches the Rfam family "Bacterial small subunit ribosomal RNA", at positions 524 to 776 of the family's 1533-position model. The record is from RNAcentral.